Molecule: ribosomal RNA, 468 nt
Filed under: uncultured bacterium
Lineage: Bacteria
Description: partial 16S ribosomal RNA
Rfam family: Bacterial small subunit ribosomal RNA
Source: RNAcentral
GACGAACGCUGGCGGCGUGCUUAACACAUGCAAGUCGAACGGAAAGGCCCUGCUUUUGUGGGGUGCUCGAGUGGCGAACGGGUGAGUAACACGUGAGUAACCUGCCCUUGACUUUGGGAUAACUUCAGGAAACUGGGGCUAAUACCGGAUAGGAGCUCCUGCUGCAUGGUGGGGGUUGGAAAGUUUCGGCGGUUGGGGAUGGACUCGCGGCUUAUCAGCUUGUUGGUGGGGUAGUGGCUUACCAAGGCUUUGACGGGUAGCCGGCCUGAGAGGGUGACCGGCCACAUUGGGCCUGCGAUACGGCCCAGACUCCUACGGGAGGCAACAGUGGGGAAUAUUGCACAAUGGGCGGAAGCCUGAUGCAGCAACGCCGCGUGCGGGAUGACGGCCUUCGGGUUGUAAACCGCUUUCGCCUGUGACGAAGCGUGAGUGACGGUAAUGGGUAAAGAAGCACCGGCUAACUACGUG